GGGUCGUUGGAGAUACCGUUAAGGAAGGCCGUCGGUCUAAUGUUCUCUCAUAAACGUACUAAUGAUCUCUGUCCUUUCCUCAACCACAAAAUCACGAUUGCCAUGGGAUUUUUCUUCUAGAUUUUCUUCAUAUACUUUUCGAGCGCUCCAAUCAAUUUUUCUCUAAAUUCAUAGUCGCGCUCGAUAAGCGGAUAAACCAAUUCCAGCAUGACGCAGGGAAUCAAAAGGGGAGACGACCAGAAGGUAGUAACCACAUGACUAAUAUAUUCUUCUUCAAGAUAUUGUACGAGUUCUUGGAACAACACUUAAGAAGAAUGUGAGCAACCAGUGCAAAGGAAUCCUUGACUUGGGAAAGCAUGGACACUAAAGCUUUUCUAUCAAAAGGACGAUACCUAAGCUAUGACUGGCGCGGAUCGUUUAAGAAGUUUAAGGGAAAAGUUAUAUAGUUGUAUGUUGAAGUAACUCUGUGUAUAUGGUCAAAAUAAAGGAGCCCGAUCUCGAAGUCUUAAAUUGAGCUAUGAGUCCGAGUCCGGGCGACUCGAAGUGGAGGUCGGACCCGGCUGAAGGACACACACCUCGACGAAGCAGAUCGAAGGCCUGGCACGACCUACAUCGAGGGUAGCACAAUCUCGAGGACACUCAAGAAAGAGCGGGAAUUUCUCAAGGACACGUGGAUCAAGGCAUAAAUUAUAGGAUAAGAUUUGUAU
Nicotiana attenuata is the source of this 707-nucleotide long non-coding RNA. RefSeq lists it as uncharacterized. The record is from RefSeq and is a predicted model, not a curated record. Lineage: Eukaryota; Viridiplantae; Streptophyta; Magnoliopsida; Solanales; Solanaceae. The transcript has 3 exons.